RNAcentral lists this non-coding RNA (24 nucleotides) under Arabidopsis thaliana (thale cress). Lineage: Eukaryota; Viridiplantae; Streptophyta; Magnoliopsida; Brassicales; Brassicaceae. The record is from RNAcentral.
CCAGGAUCCGAACAGAGUUAAACC